RNAcentral lists this ribosomal RNA (438 nucleotides) under Triticum aestivum (bread wheat). RNAcentral's name for it is "partial small subunit ribosomal RNA". Lineage: Eukaryota; Viridiplantae; Streptophyta; Magnoliopsida; Poales; Poaceae. The record is from RNAcentral.
AUGUCUAAAGUUAAAGGUGAGCCUAAACUUAUUAGUAAACAUGCUUCUAUGGUUACCACUCAAGUAGAACAAGUACUUAAAGCUCAGAAUGAUUUGCUCAAUGAAUUAGAUAAUAAGAAAAAUGAGAAUGUUGUUAGAGUUGUGACUAGAGAGGGUAAAAUGACUCAGGAACCUUUGUAUCCUGAGGGCCACCCUAAGAGAAUUGAGCAAGAUUCUCAGAGAACUAAUGUUGAUACACCUAGUUCUUCUAAGAAGAAGAAAAGGAAAAUAAUAGGACUUUGCAUGCUUCUAGUGAACCUGUUGCUGAGACACCUGAGAAUCCCAUUGAUAUUUCUAUUUCUGGUACUGAAACACAAUUUGGUAAUGAAAAUGAACCUAGUGAUAAUGUUAAUGAUGAUGUUCAUGUUGAUGCUCAACCUAGCAAUAACAAUGAUCUAG